This 743-nucleotide long non-coding RNA is filed under the name Brassica napus (rape). Its description in RNAcentral is "long non-coding RNA (BNAP_LNC023604)". The record is from RNAcentral. Lineage: Eukaryota; Viridiplantae; Streptophyta; Magnoliopsida; Brassicales; Brassicaceae.
AGAUUAAGAGGCUUUACAAGCAGUGGAAGUGGAACAUGCGCCGUAUCGAUGCGACGGAGGUUUUCCUCCGGCGAGGGGAAGAAGCCGACGAGGCUUGGGAGAACAUGGUGGCUCGACCUAGCGCACUCGCCGUCGACAGGUUUCUUAAUUACAGCAACGAUCACCAUUUGGAAGGGGACGCUAUUCUAUUACCGGAGAUCUCCGCUGUUCCGCCGCUUCCAGCCGCCGUGGCAGCGAUUUCGCGGUAAAAAAAUAUAAAACAGGAAAUGAAGCAAUGGAUAUGGUGUGGAAAAAAGGACUAUUAUAAUGCCACGUGGCGAGAUUGUUGGAAAGGUCUAGAGCUAUGACAAUGCCACGUGGUUAUAUUGGUCUUUGUCGGAGAAGAUGAUCUUUUAUUACAUAAAGUGUGUGUGUUACGGUUAAACGGAAUCAGUUUUGAGGGACCUAAAGUGCACGCGCGGGGCGGAUGCUGACGGGUUCUCCUUUUGUUCCGGAAAACAGCAACUAAUCAGGAACAAGCCGUGUGGCAGCCCGUGUGUCGCUUCGGCCGUAUCGAUGCGACGGAGGUUUUCCUCCGGCGAGGGGAAGAAGCCGACGAGGCUUGGGAGAACAUGGUGGCUCGACCUAGCGCACUCGCCGUCGACAGGUUUCUUAAUUACAGCAACGAUCACCAUUUGGAAGGGGACGCUAUUCUAUUACCGGAGAUCUCCGCUGUUCCGCCGCUUCCAGCCGCCGUGGCAGCG